RNAcentral lists this small RNA (28 nucleotides) under Bombyx mori (domestic silkworm). Its description in RNAcentral is "ovarian small RNA-4188". The record is from RNAcentral. Lineage: Eukaryota; Metazoa; Arthropoda; Insecta; Lepidoptera; Bombycidae.
AAAGAGGAAGAAGUCGCAAACCGAGGUC